CAAUAGCGUAUAUUUAAGUUGUUGCAGUUAAAAAGCUCGUAGUUGGAUUUCGGGUGGGACGCAGCGGUCUCGCAUUGCGUUUGUACUGCUGCAGCCCUCCUUCUUGCCGGGGGCGGCCUCUCGGACUUCACUGUCUGGGGGUCAGAAUCGGCGAUGUUACUUUGAGUAAAUUAGAGUGUUCAAAGCAAGCUUACGCUCUGAAUAUAAUAGCAUGGGAUAACACGACAGGACUCUGGCCUAUCGUGUUGGUCUAUAGGACCAGAGUAAUGAUUAAGAGGGACAGUCGGGGGCAUUCGUAUUCCGUUGUCAGAGGUGAAAUUCUUGGAUUUACGGAAGACGAACAUCUGCGAAAGCAUUUGCCAAGGAUGUUUNCAUUGA
RNAcentral lists this ribosomal RNA (378 nucleotides) under uncultured eukaryote. RNAcentral's name for it is "partial 18S ribosomal RNA". It matches the Rfam family "Eukaryotic small subunit ribosomal RNA", at positions 592 to 976 of the family's 1831-position model. The record is from RNAcentral.